UGGGGAAUUUUGCACAAUGGGGGAAACCCUGAUGCAGCGACGCCGCGUGAUUUAGAAGGCCUUCGGGUUGUAAAAAUCUUUUUUACGGGAUGAAAAUGACAGUACCGUAAGAAUAAGGUCCGGCUAAAUACGUGCCAGCAGCCGCGGUAAUACGUAGGUCCCGAGCGUUGUCCGGAUUUAUUGGGCGUAAAGCGAGCGCAGGCGGUUAGAAAAGUCUGAAGUGAAAGGCAGUGGCUCAACCAUUGUAGGCUUUGGAAACUGUUUAACUUGAGUGCAGAAGGGGAGAGUGGAAUUCCAUGUGUAGCGGUGAAAUGCGUAGAUAUAUGGAGGAACACCGGUGGCGAAAGCGGCUCUCUGGUCUGUAACUGACGCUGAGGCUCGAAAGCGUGGGGAGCGAACAGG
RNAcentral lists this ribosomal RNA (402 nucleotides) under Bacteroidota bacterium. Its description in RNAcentral is "Bacteroidetes bacterium partial 16S ribosomal RNA". It matches the Rfam family "Bacterial small subunit ribosomal RNA", at positions 355 to 776 of the family's 1533-position model. The record is from RNAcentral. Lineage: Bacteria; Pseudomonadati; Bacteroidota.